AACGUAGGAGGCAAGCGUUAUCCGGAUUUACUGGGCGUAAAGGGCGUGCAGGUGGUUUGCUAAGUGGUGCGUGAAAGCGCUCGGCUCAACCGGGCGAGGCCGUGCCAAACUGGCAGACUAGAAACAGGCAGAGGAAAGUGGAAUUCGGGGUGUAGUGGUGAAAUGCGUAGAGAUCCCGAGGAACUCCAGUGGCGAAGGCGACUUUCUGGGCCUUACCUGACGCUGAGACGCGAAAGCGUGGGGAGCGAACCGG
Molecule: ribosomal RNA, 253 nt
Filed under: uncultured bacterium
Lineage: Bacteria
Description: partial 16S ribosomal RNA
Rfam family: Bacterial small subunit ribosomal RNA
Source: RNAcentral